UACAGGGGGUGCAAACGUUGCUCGGAAUCAUUGGGCGUAAAGCGCACGUAGGCGGUCUGUUAAGUCUGAUGUGAAAGCCCACGGCUCAACCGUGGAGGGUCAUUGGAAACUGGGGGACUUGAGUGCAGGAGAGAAGAGUGGAAUUCCACGUGUAGCGGUGAAAUGCGUAGAGAUGUGGAGGAACACCAGUGGCGAAGGCGACUCUUUGGCCUGUAACUGACGCUGAGGCGCGAAAGCGUGGGGAGCAAACAGG
This 253-nucleotide ribosomal RNA is filed under the name uncultured bacterium. Its description in RNAcentral is "partial 16S ribosomal RNA". It matches the Rfam family "Bacterial small subunit ribosomal RNA", at positions 524 to 776 of the family's 1533-position model. The record is from RNAcentral.